AGGAAAGGAAAAGAAUCAUCAAGUAGUCAUUGAAAAUAUCUCAAGAAAUUACAUUAUUAAGAUAGAGCAUCAAUAAAAAAGUCAAGGUGGUUUGUCAGAUGUACACUUUUUUACCUCUUUUUACAGCAUAGUCAACUCCAACAACACAUGUUGGGAUUAUACCCGCACAUUGAAAUGGAAAGAACAAAAUAAUGGUGAGCAAUUCAAAAUCAACAACGUCUAUUUUACGUCUUCGUAGUGCAUGUAUUAUGUCUUCUUUUUCUAAAUCUUUCGGGAUAUUGUUUUGCUCUUCUUGAGAUACGUCUGCAGCUUGAGACCUUUUGAGGGGAACUGUUGUACACUAUGAGAAAUCUUUAAGCACAACCACCGCAAAUGACCGAAUUGGGUGAUCACUAUGAUUAGAAAUUGCAAUAAAAAUCAUAUAGAUUUCAGCAAGCGGAUCCGAGCGAGCGAAGGGUGAGCAUCCUUACCAUCACAGAAGAAUAGCCCAAACCCGAGCGGAUUUCGACGGUCCAGCAGGGGACGGAGGCAGAGACGGCUGCUACUGUUGCGCCGAAGAGGGGAGGAGAAGCUUCACGCCUCCGAGGUAGCGGCGAGGCGUGAGGGGGAGGAGGGAGGGGCGGGCCAGGAUGUCGCUGAGGUACCACCACUUAUGCACCUCCAUGGCGGCGAGGUGCCAGUCAGCGGCCCAUGGUGCAUGCGAGCUUGGUGUGGCACGUGAUCCAGAACUCGUUCUCCCGCAGCUCGGCCUCCGUGGUGGUGUGUCCAUGUUGAUGGGUGGGUCGGACACGAAGAUCCCAUUCAGGUUAGGGGGUGGCAGUGAGGUUGGAGGUGGAGCAGAGGCGGAGGGGGAGGCAGCAAGGACUACCGCAAGUGGAUGGAUGGGGGCGCAACAUGGGGAGGCAGCGAGGGC
RNAcentral lists this long non-coding RNA (913 nucleotides) under Zea mays. Its description in RNAcentral is "long non-coding RNA (ZMAY_LNC001825)". The record is from RNAcentral. Lineage: Eukaryota; Viridiplantae; Streptophyta; Magnoliopsida; Poales; Poaceae.